GAUUAACGCUGGCGGCGUGCAUAACACAUGCAAGUCGAACGAUGAAACUUAAAUGAUUUCUUCGGAAUGAACUUAAGUGGAUUAGUGGCGGACGGGUGAGUAACGCGUGAGUAACCUGCCUUACACAAGGGGAUAGCCGUUGGAAACGACGAAUAAUACCCUAUGAUGUUUCUAUCUCGCAUGAGAUAUUAACCAAAGUGUUAGCGGUGUAAGAUGGACUUGCGUCUGAUUAGCUAGUUGGUGAGAAAAAGCCCACCAAGGCAACGAUCAGUAGCCGGCUUGAGAGAGUGUACGGCCACAUUGGGACUGAGACACGGCCCAGACUCCUACGGGAGGCAGCAGUGGGGAAUUUUGCACAAUGGGGGAAACCCUGAUGCAGCGACGCCGCGUGAUUUAGAAGGCCUUCGGGUUGUAAAAAUCUUUUGUAUAGGAAGAAAAUGACAGUACUAUACGAAUAAGGUCCGGCUAAUUACGU
This 475-nucleotide ribosomal RNA is filed under the name uncultured bacterium. RNAcentral describes it as "partial 16S ribosomal RNA". It matches the Rfam family "Bacterial small subunit ribosomal RNA", at positions 28 to 506 of the family's 1533-position model. The record is from RNAcentral.